Molecule: ribosomal RNA, 372 nt
Filed under: uncultured organism
Description: partial 16S ribosomal RNA
Rfam family: Bacterial small subunit ribosomal RNA
Source: RNAcentral
GUAGGUGGCAAGCGUUGUCCGGAAUUAUUGGGCGUAAAGCGCGCGCAGGCGGUUCUUUAAGUCUGAUGUGAAAGCCCACGGCUCAACCGUGGAGGGUCAUUGGAAACUGGAGAACUUGAGUACAGAAGAGGAAAGCGGAAUUCCACGUGUAGCGGUGAAAUGCGUAGAGAUGUGGAGGAACACCAGUGGCGAAGGCGGCUCUCUGGUCUGUAACUGACGCUGAGGCGCGAAAGCGUGGGGAGCAAACAGGAUUAGAUACCCUGGUAGUCCACGCCGUAAACGAUGAGUGCUAAGUGUUAGGGGGGUUUCCGCCCCCCUUAGUGCUGCAGCUAACGCAUUAAGCACUCCGCCUGGGAUACGGCCGCAAGGCUG